AAAACCUGGGGCAUUUCUUGUUAACACCGGUAGUUGCCAACUGUUAGAUGAUUGUGCUGUGAAACAACUUCUAAUAGAGGGAAGCAUUGCUGGCUGUGCUUUGGAUGGUGCUGAAGGGCCACAAUGGAUGGAAGCAUGGGUAAGGGAGAUGCCCAAUGUCCUGAUACUGCCGCGCAGCGCAGAUUAUAGUGAAGAAGUGUGGAUGGAAAUAAGGGAGAAAGCUAUUUCUAUGCUGCAGUCAUUCUUCUUGGAUGGUGUUGCUCCAAAGGAUUCAGUGUCCGAUGAAGAAGAGGAAAGCGAGAUAGGGUAUGACAAUGAAGUUCACCAAAUACAAGAUGUUGAAAGCACGCUGCAGGGUUCUCCUAGUCAGCAGGCCAUUGAAGAUGUUGCAGAGAGCUCUCAGAAAAGAUUAGCGAGUGUCUCGAGGGAAUCACCUAGUCAGCUUCAAGGCUCCAUGGUAUCUCAAAAUAGUUCUGGUAGAUCUGAAGUAAAGAGAAGUCGAUCAGGUAAAAAGGCUAAAAAGCGGCAUGGGCGCCAAAAAUCACGACACAAAGUGGAUGAACAUUUGGCAUUUGAAAAGGAGAGUACGUCACACCAUGAAGAUGGGGCAACAAUGAGCGGAACAGAUCAAGGUGUGAGUUCCAGUUCACGUUUUGCUUCUCCAGAAGAUUUAAGAGGUAGAAAGACAUCAAUUGAAUCAAUACAGGAAUCAUCAGUGGAGCAUCUAUCAAAAAAAGGCAUAAAUCUCAGCAGAAAAUCUUCAGAACUGCUGAAGGAUGGUUAUGUAAUAGCUUUACAUGCAAGACAUCAUCCCGCUUUGCAUGUCUCCAGACAAAGAGUUAAAGGGGGUGGUUGGUUCCUCGACACAAUGUCAGAUGUUACAAAAAGAGACCCAGCGGCACAGUUCCUUGUGGUUUUUAGGAGCAAGGAUACAAUUGGGUUGAGAUCAUUUACUGCUGGAGGGAAGUUACUGCAGAUAAAUAGGAGAAUGGAAUUUGUAUUUGCAAGUCACAGUUUUGAUGUUUGGGAGAGUUGGACAUUUGAAGGCACUAUGGAAGAAUGUCGACUAGUUAACUGUAGGAAUCCUCUGGCUGUUUUGGAUGUACGUGUUGAAGUACUUGCAGCUGUUGGAGAAGAUGGUAUCACUCGAUGGCUUGACUAAGCAGUUGCGCAUGAUUCUUUAACAUAUGCUGUGCUGAUGCAUUUGGAAUAUUUACUUUACCACAAGUAGUUUUGUAAAGCAUUGAGUCUCCCUCAAAGCAAGAGUUGUAAGUUUUUAAAUGUAACUUUCAUUAUUGCCUCCUGUCAGGGUUCUUUCUUUCCGUGACAAUGGCUUAUUGUAAUUUGAGGAUUCAGAAUAGGCUUGCCUUUUGUUUUGACUGUUGCUUUUUUUAAAUGGACGUUUGCAUGCU
RNAcentral lists this unclassified non-coding RNA (1412 nucleotides) under Hevea brasiliensis (rubber tree). Lineage: Eukaryota; Viridiplantae; Streptophyta; Magnoliopsida; Malpighiales; Euphorbiaceae. The record is from RNAcentral.